This is a long non-coding RNA of Trematomus bernacchii (emerald rockcod), 2030 nucleotides long. RefSeq lists it as uncharacterized. The record is from RefSeq and is a predicted model, not a curated record. NCBI's taxonomy places the organism in Eukaryota, Metazoa, Chordata, Actinopteri, Perciformes, Nototheniidae. The transcript has 2 exons.
CAGCUUCCUUAUUCGGCUGGGCUGCGCAGGCUGCCUGGACUACUUCACAGCACAAGGCUUAAGCAACAUCUACCAGAUUGAGAACUAUAACAUGGAGGACCUGUCCCGGAUGAAGAUUCCCGCCGAGUACCAGCACUCCAUCUGGAAGAGCAUCAUGGAGCACCGGCAGGCCAUGGACUUCUCCACCCCCCCCACAUAGUGCGCACCACCAGCAGGGCGUCCACCAUCAGCAUGGGCUCCUCCGAGGCCCGAGGCGAGCGCGUGAUCGACGCCGUGCGCUUCACCCUCCGGCAGACCAUCAGCUUCCCGCCGCGCGACGAGUGGUCCGACUUCUCCUUCGACCUGGACUCCCGCCGCAACAAACAGCAGCGAAUCAAGGAGGAGGGGGAGUGAGGCGUUCAAAUCUCACCCCCAAAUCUCACCCCCAAUCUCACCAACCCCACGUCUGUCAUUUCACGCCUGCUGUACGAACAUUUCUCUGGGUCAGAGUGGUGCAGGGAUGACGUGAUUCUCUAGGCUCUAAACUGGUUCCCUCGCCAAUUGGAUUAUCCCCAAAAGAAUAAUCUCUGUGGCAAACACACGGCUAUAAUACUUAUACGCUUUGUUCAACUGGAUAAUCCACAUUCAUUAACACCACUUUAAUGAUUUUUGAAGCAUAAAUGCAAAGGUAAAAAGCUAACGUUAGGCUAUCAAGUAGCUAUCAUGCGCGGUAGCAUGACUUGGCGGCUAAGCUAACGGCGGCUAAUCAGAAACAAGUUUAUUGCCAGGUACGUUUACAAAUAAAAGGAAUUUGCUGCACACAUAAACACAAUGUUUAUUUGUUAAAAUGUUUGGCAUAAUGACAUCAAGCAGUCUCGUUAGCCACUUGUUAGCACGGCCAUUUUUAAGACACACAAAAAGCUUCAUACAUUCACCAGAGGGAUAUCAACUGAUACAUGUUAAGGCGUAGAACAAAACCUAAAAAUAUCUACAGCUUGUGUUUACCACAGAUUUUAUUUCAGGCAUGUAAAAUAAAAAAAACUUCAAGACAAGGGAACCCACAAAUGCUGACUCAUUUCUGUGUUUUAGGACUCAUUCCUGCACCACUCUUAGUGCAAACAAAAAACCUGCAAAGGAACAAAAAUCACAUUCACAUAAAAGUGCACUUACUUUGCAUUUUUGUUCUCGUUAAAUCGCAGAGGAAAGCAACACGCGGCGUUGAGCGAGAGGUGCAUUUUAUUAUGUUCUAAUUUCUUGAGAGCACUUAAGAAAUGCUGAGGAUUUUCAAGCUUCAUUUUCUUUAUAUGAUUCAUUCCCAUUUAAGAGCUUGACUGGAAACCAAACUGGCAUUAGAGGGGAUUUAUAAGGGCUUUCUUUCUGCAGCGACUACGUGUAUUUGUAUUGUUUCUGGUUAUGCAGGUUAGACACUGGUUUUCAUUUUAAGUCAGCAUUGAUUGUAAACAUUUCAAACGUUUCCUGUCAGAAGUAUUAUGUCAAUUGAUGGGCGAUUUCGUGUUUCUGCUUCUAUAAUUUGCUCUUUUUUUUACGUCUAUUGUGAGAUCAGCUGUUUGUGAAGUAUGUGUUAAAGAGACAGAUGUAGCCACUUAUAGGCGUUUAUGCUCUUGACCCAGUGUUUUUACUAUGACUGAUGUCCUGCUGUGUUUCCGCCUGAUUUAAUGCACAAGUGGAUUAAAUCAGAGUUAUUUUUCUACGUAUGAACCAUGUUUUGGGGUUUAUUUCAUUUGAUAACUGGCCAAAACCUGAUAGAUGUAUAUAUAUUUGUAUAGUUCCUUUUUCUUUUAUAUAAAGUCUCCCUUAUUAAAAAAAGUAAUCAAGCAUAAUGAUGUGAAUAUAACUCAGUAAGAACAAAGUUUGUAUUGAUUCUCCGUCACCAGCCCUUUGUCUCAGUAGCCAGCAUUAUUAGAAAAAGCAGAGCGUUUUUUUCAUGUUUUUGUACAAUGUUUUGUAAAUAUGAUGCAAUAUACCACGGGUAUUUUGAUAUAAAUCUGAAAUAAAUAUCCAUACUUGCUGUAUCGCAUGUUGAAACUCCA